This 497-nucleotide ribosomal RNA is filed under the name uncultured bacterium. Its description in RNAcentral is "partial 16S ribosomal RNA". It matches the Rfam family "Bacterial small subunit ribosomal RNA", at positions 28 to 507 of the family's 1533-position model. The record is from RNAcentral.
GAUGAACGCUGGCGGCGUGCCUAAUACAUGCAAGUCGAGCGAACAGACGAGGAGCUUGCUCCUCUGACGUUAGCGGCGGACGGGUGAGUAACACGUGGAUAACCUACCUAUAAGACUGGGAUAACUUCGGGAAACCGGAGCUAAUACCGGAUAAUAUAUUGAACCGCAUAGUUCAAUAGUGAAAGACGGUUUUGCUGUCACUUAUAGAUGGAUCCGCGCCGCAUUAGCUAGUUGGUAAGGUAACGGCUUACCAAGGCGACGAUGCGUAGCCGACCUGAGAGGGUGAUCGGCCCCACUGGAACUGAGACACGGUCCAGACUCCUACGGGAGGCAGCAGUAGGGAAUCUUCCGCAAUGGGCGAAAGCCUGACGGAGCAACGCCGCGUGAGUGAUGAAGGUCUUCGGAUCGUAAAACUCUGUUAUUAGGGAAGAACAAAUGUGUAAGUAACUAUGCACGUCUUGACGGUACCUAAUCAGAAAGCCACGGCUAACUACGUG